Molecule: ribosomal RNA, 350 nt
Filed under: uncultured bacterium
Lineage: Bacteria
Description: partial 16S ribosomal RNA
Rfam family: Bacterial small subunit ribosomal RNA
Source: RNAcentral
CCUACGGGUGGCUGCAGUGGGGAAUAUUGCGCAAUGGGCGAAAGCCUGACGCAGCGACGCCGCGUGAGGGAUGAAGGUCUUCGGAUCGUAAACCUCUGUCAGCAGGGAAGAACGGUCACGGGGCUAAGCAGCAGUGAAUGGACGGUACCUGCAAAGGAAGCACCGGCUACCUCCGUGCCAGCAGCCGCGGUAAUACGGAGGGUGCGAGCGUUAAGCGGAAUUACUGGGCGGAAAGCGCUCGUAGGCGGUAUGUCAAGUCAAGGGUGAAAUCCCCGCGCUCAACGUGGGAACUGCCUUUGAAACUGGCAAACUGGCGUGUGUGAGAGGAUAGUGGACUUCCAGGUGUCGGC